UGGCAGUGGCCCUGGGGAUGCGGAGUUGCUGAGGUGCCAUGCCAGCAGUAGUCACUGAGAAACUGCCCUCUUGAGUGUCAGAGGGACGUCACUAAUGGAGAGAUGCCCACACAAGUCCCACUUGGAAUUUGUUACCGGAAAUGGCACAUUGGGAAACCUCCCUCUUGGUGUCAGGGAAUGUCCUGCACCACCAGCUGCCACACACUGCAGGAGCCUACUGAGAGCGAGCACAGGCUGGCCCAGGAUGAUGAACCCAUUCCUCUGCUAGGUUCCCGCCACACCACCAGCUGCCACACACUGCAGGAGCCUACUGAGAGUGAGCACAGGCUGGACCCAAGAGGAAGAACCCAUUCCUCUCCUAGGUUCCCACGAGUGCCUUCUGCCAACGAAGCUUAAUGGCAUGCCAACUGUCCAAGGAGAAAGGAUGAGAAGCCACAAGCAGGACAAUACAGGUUUCCUUGGAGCCAAGAGGCAAUAGAUUGGAAGAAAGAGAAGAGAAUGCCUGAUCUCACUUUUUACUUUCAAUAUAGAACAAAUCUACAUAGGAAGUUGUGGAAGCAGCGACGAGUGUGGUUUGAGGGUCUUCCUGCAAAGAACAGUAUCAUAGGACCAUGGAGGGAGAAGAACUGUGCCCUAGGAAUGGUACUUCACACAUCAUACCCAGAAGGCUAAACUGUUGCUAUAACAGGAGACUUGGGAAAGGACACGUGACCACAUCAUGCUCAAGCAUGUAGAAUUCCCUCUGAGCCUCAUUGAAUCACCGAAGGCCAAUCAACCUUAACACCAAUAGAGUACAGCACAAACCUCUGUAGAACAAUACGUCCCAGCUGCAAAGACUAUAAGCUCCAUGGAACAGAUAUCAAGCCUCGAGGCCAUAACACAAGGUGCAUGAAGGGACUCCUGACCAGGAAGAGCAAUGACCAGAACAGGAAGAUUCCUGGGUAGUGCCAUGUCUACUUGGAUCCAAUCCAAGGGAUCAUUAUUGUUUCUCAGUGUACAUUUUUUCAACACUUCCCUUGGAUAAUAGCCACUUGUUCAUGUAAUUGGGUCAUUAACCAACAGUAGUCCUCUCACAAAUAAUAAUGAAUAGCAAUGGCAAUGAAUGUACUGUUAACGGUAGUUGAAAACUUCAGAUAGAAAUUGAGUGUUGAUCAGUAGUUGACUGGGCUUGUAGUUCACAAAUCAUCUCCAAAUACUCCACUGAGGGAUAAUUUUAUGUAGCCAAGGGACUAAUAUUAAAACCUGAAUCAACUACUCGUAGCUACAGUUUACUCAAUUUUUCUCAGUUUAGAGAAAGAUUGGUCUCAAUAAGGUGAUGAGUUCUAGCCCCAUUUCUACCACUUGCAUUCUGUAUGACUUGGAAAUGUCACGCUUCCUUUUGUCUUAGAAACACAGUGUGUGUGUGCAUGACUUUCAGGAGAAACAAUCAGCAUCAGGAUCAUAUUUUGAACUUAUCUGGAGAAGUUUGAAGCAAAUUUAUUUGAGAUUUGGCAAUGUAGAGUCUUCUCUCAUGGACCCACCCACUCUCUUCCCUCCAGGGCAAUCAUGACUCACACCCAAAUUAUUUGUUCUUGGGAAUAUCUUUUUCUCUUGAUCCCUUUUAACUUCCUUUGAUCUACUUUAAUCAACUUAAUAUCCUUAACUGUUUUUUAUCUGGAGACAUUCAUUGCAUCUAUUUCUCCUGAUACAGACUUUUCCCUGUCUGCUGCUUUCAUUUCCUCACAUAUUCUGGACCAAAAUAAGAGGAUGUUGCAUGUGAGCUAAGAGGGGGAGCUAUGUUUCUCUGAGAAAUGAAUACUCUUAUCCAUGACGUUCUAAUGGGGUAUUUUUGGACUUUGAUAUUUUCUUGACUAAUCACUCACAAAUAGAUUUUCUCAUGAUUUUCUUUUUCUUUUAAGGGAAAACUGGAAUAGUCUUUUAUAUAUUAAGCUAACACUGGCCUAAUCUAUAAUAUAUCUAUAUUGAAAUGGAACUUUUUUUUAACUGAUAAAGUUAACUAGUUAACAUACUUUCGGUAUGGUUGUGCCCAAAAAAUAACGUGAUCUUAAUCGUCUAAGUACAGCAGAUGGUGAGCUUUACUCGCGAAUGAAUUUGUUCUGAUUAAAAAGAAACCAACCCUAUGUGCACGCAUCUAUCCAUUGUUUAGCAGCACAUUUUCUGCUCACAUCUGGAAAUAUUGAGAUAGUAGCUGCUCUAGAACAUUCCAGCGGCAGGGACACAGCACAGGAGGAAGACACGGGACGGAGAUACAGACUCAAUCAUGCUCUUCUAAAAUGAAAUUGAUUCAGCCACUUGAUGUUAAGAAAUUGCUUUUGUGAGUUACAAAAUUUCCUUCACUGGCCGCAGAAUGACUGACUAUGAAAGCUGUAGGUUUUUCAGGGCACACGGACUGAAGAAAGCCUUCCACUGCCUUGAGUGUGCAGAGAUUUCCUGUUUUGUUCCUUGCACCAAUCUUCUGACGAGCACUGUGAGCAACUGAGAUCUGCAGAUAUCCUUGCAGGGAGUUCUCUUUCGGGCUUACAUGGAGUUACUUAGACAUCUGGAAGGAGUAGGUGUCAAACCACAAAUAAAACUUUCCUUGACUCAUGGGGAGAAAGGUAGCGAUUUCCCCUUGACCUCAUUAACUGAAACUACCAGUGCCGCUGUUCCGGCGUCAAACUUCAUUCUUCAGAAUGCGCUUCUCCAUUUAAGGGCUUUACCUUUUGUAUUUGUUCAGUGUUUAACUCUGCAAAUUUAACCGAAGCCUUUCAGUGGCAUGUUUUCAUCUUAAACUAAUAAUAAGUAAGGGUCAUAGCUACAUAAUUUACUCUCCAUGGGACCUCACACAGGGACACUAACAGAUAAAUGCUUGAUGAUGCUGUUGAGGCUGAUUGAUACUAUUAGUUUUAUUUUCUUUCUCAUGGCAAACACAAAUGACUCCUCCAUCCAGCACUCUCUGUUCUUUUUAAUCUUUAUACUUUGACCAUAGAAGCAUGCAUUUGUCGUGUCAGGUAGGUAGUUGGAGUAAAAGUAAUUUGCCAUUGGCUCUCAAUUUAAAAUGAAUUCAUGAAAAAGGAGAGCUGCAAACUACUCAAUCUGACUGCAAAGUGGUAUUUUGUUUGUACACUUAACUCCCCAGAUAUAAGUGGAAGCAUCGUCCCUCCUGCAUUUAUUUCCCCCAUGACACUAAUUCUUUAUAGCAAAACAAAGAGUUUGUGAGUUCAUAGAGCAGGGCUUUCCUAUCUGUAGACAUCCAGUAACGUCCCUUUCCAUACUUCAUCCCAAAUUAAACAGAGUCUCCUUCCUGGUUUGCUCAUGUGCAUAUUGAAUUAGGAAACAAUCCUUCACUACCAGCCUCCCCAUCUUAAUGCAAUCCAGUCAGAGCUGAGAUAAUUAACAACACUCAUUGCUCUAACUUAGUUUUUGCAUUUUUUUCCUCCAUGCAAAUCUUCUUUCAUCUAGUUGUUCCUUAUUGGUUCAUUCCAUUAAGCAUGUGCAAAGUGGCUCCGGUAGUCAUAACACUGACCCAAGUCCCCGGGAAUAAAAAAAGAAAGAAAAACAAACAAAACUAGAAUCUCUGGGGAAGCACACAGGAGUGCAGGGGAGAAACAGAACACAUUUAUUUUAAAUACAUAGAUGCAGAAUUAAGCUAGUACAACACACCAUUAUAUAAAUAAUAUGCAUGAGUGCUAUAGGAAUGCAAAGUGAGAAAAUGUUUGCUAUGAGCCAUGUGUGAGCAAAGAGAGGUCACUUGGAGGAGAUGGCUCUUAUGCUGAAUUUCAGUGAAGAAUUAGUGAAGGAAAAAAAAAAACAGAAAAAUGUCGAAGUUUGGGAGAAUCCAAUGAGUAAAAGAACAUGGUUUGAAACAAGUAUAAUAUGAACGAUAGUAGGAAAGUUGGUCAUGCAGACAUUCGGAUAAUUAUUUCCUUCCUCUUUAUGCAGUAAGUUGCAUUUUUACAGAGCCUGAAGGCUCAACUUAAAAAAAUAUAUAUUCAGAGUCAAAUGUAUUUGCAUAUGUCUUAUUUCUUAAGAAUAGUGUUUUAUCUAAAGAUUGAUAAGAUGGUUUUUCUGACAUCUUAAAGAUUUUUUUAAUAGAAAACUUUACUGUAAGUUUGGUUUAUAAUGUGAAAUACAACUCCAUCUUCUUUGGAGUCUGAAUAUAGUCUCCCUCUCUUCAUUCACAAGUGAAUGAGAAAUGUGCUAACUUCUGCUCUUACAAAUCCCAUUUAGUGGGUGUUUCUAGUUAAACCACUUAACAACCUCAUUUAUUUUGUGGUGACCAUCAAGUACAGCAACAAUGCACACUAGUUCUUAAAUUAAGUAACCCUUAUUUGCAAAGUACAGAAGGUAUCAAGCAUGUAACCUCAUGACAUCACUCUUGUAUGAAUAGACUUGCUGCACUGCGUAAGUACACGUAUAGGACAAGUUAAAUAACUAAAUGCACUGUCGAAGCAUCGUGUUAUUGGCUAUCAAAUCAGUAAUACAGAAAGUCAGAAACCAAACUCGGAAGAAGCGAGACCUGCCUCCAAGGCAGAAAAUGGAGACAGAGAAGAACAUUUGGUCAAGAAGAGGACUGAGAAAUGCCUGUUUUUAGAGAAACAGAAGACAUGGGUCCACAAUGCACAGGAUUAGGGUCAGAAAAACAUGAGAAAGACUACCUGACUUUCUACAUUUUCAUUGACUACAUGGAAAUUAUGAUAUCACCUUUCCUUGCUUUGCAAAGGUUUUAUAAAAUUGUGGUAAUGAGCUCAUUCUGAAAAUGACCUCUCCUGAAUUCUCCACAGCACUGUGCAAAUUUUAAGUGCGUGUAGAAGAUAGAAAAAAAAAAAAGUUAUUCAAACCAGGGAGAAGAUUCAUUAAGGCUUUGAGUAUAGUUUUUCUUCUCCCUAACAGUGGAGUGUGGCAUAUUCAUAGGAAGAAACUGAGUAUAAAUUUCCUGGAGUCCUAAAAGCCAGAAUCUAAACAAAGAACUACGAAUGGAAGUGCCUUAUUUUACGAUUCUCUAUUCCUCCGCCUUCUGACUCUUGCCUUUUCAACAUUCCCAGCCCUCUGACAACUGAGAGAGAAGGGCUUCCAUGCUCAGAGACCAGGAGGGCCUUCAGGCUUCAGUGAAUGUCCCACUUUGUCCUUUUCUGACCUAUUUGAAAGUCAAGGGUUGUAUAUUCAAUUAGGACAUAACUGUUGAGCCACUAAAAUCCCACUGUACAUUCUCCACCUUCCUCUGCUUUGUAUCUUUUCAUAAUCAGCAGGGAAGAAAAGUAUGCUUCACUGCUACCAUGGGGUGCUCUCAACAAUAUUUUUUCUGAACAAAAUAAAAAUAUAUUAAUAGAUAAGCAAGAAAAUGGGGCCACCAUAAUGUUAAGUAAAGACAGUAUGAUCCCCAGUAAGAGAUUUGAGGAUAGCUCCUUGUCCCUUUCACUGUUCCAUCCUGAUAUCUCUGCCAUUUGUACCUGCUCUGUAUGGAUAUUGGCCUGGGUGUUUAAUCUGUCUCUUCAUCUUUGAAGUUUCAUCCACAAGAAGUUACUUUAUCAGUGAACUUAAAUUUCAACCUCUAAACAUGUUACAGAAUCAAAUUAAACUACAGAUAAUUUUGUUCUGAAAACUGAGUGUCAUCUGUAAUUGCAAUACUGAUAGGGGGAAAACACCCUAAUUUUAAGCCCUUUGUUAUGAAUCCAUAUCUUCUCUGUGAAAUCAGAGUGUCAGUCUUGCAUCUCGUGGAACCAAAUAAAAAAAAUGUAUCAUGCAGUUAGACAGGAUAUGACACUGACUCAAUAAGGCAUUGGGGUGUGUAAAAAAAUCACUGGUAAAGGGAAAAAGUAUGAAAGUAAUAUUGGCUGACAUUUUCUUGUUAUUAGUGUUCUUUUUAAUAUCUAGCAUUUUAUGCCACUUUAUUUUGCUUCAGAGUCUUAUGAUCAAUAACAUAUAAACAAAUCCCGGAUUAGGAACUCACAUUCUGUAUUUUAAAUGUCUGAUUUCUAAUUUGCUGAUCUACUUUCUCUGUUCUCUUCAUUUGAUUAUUUGCCUAAUUAUAUAGUUUAACCUAUAAGGCUUUUCUAAAUAAGACAUGUUAAAUACAGUUGUAUUGCUGUAAUGAAAACUUAGUUGCAAAAGGAUAGAGUUAGCUAAGUCUGUGCCAUAGUUUUGCGCAGAGUGCAGGGUCCUAUGUGUCACUUCAUUUCACAUUUGUGGUUGUUUAACAAAUAAUAAAAUUUGUUUUGCCAGUACAUUACAUUUUAGGAUUGCAAAAAUUAUCUGUUGGAAUUUUUACGUGAAAGCGAUUUUUAAUUUUUUGCUAUAUUGUGUUCAUCUUAGUUUCUUUAUUCCUAAAUACCUAACUUGGAAUCUUCAUAUUUUCUGUCCUCAAUAGUUUAACUUUUUAACACCUAAGUAUAUAGAUAAAUACAAAACUUUCAAAAGAUUUUAUCAAAAUGACUUUAUUUUGUUAUAAUAGUUGUUACAUGAAACUAUCCAUAAUUUUUCAAGAUAAAACAGUGACUUUCCUAAAUAUACAUGUAAAGUAGUCUUUACUCUUUCAGAAAUGACCCCUUUUACAGGAAUUUCUCCUUGAAAUGUAUAUAGUAAGUUUAGCAAUGUCUAAAUACUUUUAGUCCCAAAACAAGAUAUAGCCUUACAAAAUAUCUUAUGAUUUUUGUUAUGCAUAAUUUUACAAAUAUAUUUAAAAUGCUCUACAAAGCAGUGCUCUACUAUUUAUACUAUAAUCAAUAAAUG
RNAcentral lists this long non-coding RNA (6708 nucleotides) under Homo sapiens (human). RNAcentral's name for it is "HSALNT0158763". Lineage: Eukaryota; Metazoa; Chordata; Mammalia; Primates; Hominidae. The record is from RNAcentral.